GAUGAAGAACGUAGCGAAAUGCGAUAAGUAAUGUGAAUUGCAGAAUUCAGUGAAUCAUCGAAUCUUUGAACGCACAUUGCGCCCGUCAGUAUUCUGGCGGGCAUGCCUGUUCGAGCGUCAUUACGCCCCUCAAGUCCCCUGUGGACUUGGUGUUGGGGAUCGGCGAGGCUGGUUUUCCAGCACAGCCGUCCCUUAAAUUAAUUGGCGGUCUCGCCGUGGCCCUCCUCUGCGCAGUAGUAAAACACUCGCAACAGGAGCCCGGCGCGGUCCACUGCCGUAAAACCCCCCAACUUUUUAUAGUUGACCUCGAAUCAGGUAGGACUACCCGCUGAACUUAAGCAUAUAAUAAGCGGAGGA
RNAcentral lists this unclassified non-coding RNA (357 nucleotides) under soil metagenome. RNAcentral describes it as "partial contains 5.8S ribosomal RNA, internal transcribed spacer 2, and large subunit ribosomal RNA". The stretch from base 1 to 120 matches the Rfam family "5.8S ribosomal RNA", at positions 35 to 154 of the family's 154-position model. The record is from RNAcentral.